AUUGAACGCUGGCGGCAGGCCUAACACAUGCAAGUCGAGCGGAUGAAGGGAGCUUGCUCCUGGAUUCAGCGGCGGACGGGUGAGUAAUGCCUAGGAAUCUGCCUGGUAGUGGGGGAUAACGUCCGGAAACGGGCGCUAAUACCGCAUACGUCCUGAGGGAGAAAGUGGGGGAUCUUCGGACCUCACGCUAUCAGAUGAGCCUAGGUCGGAUUAGCUAGUUGGUGGGGUAAAGGCCUACCAAGGCGACGAUCCGUAACUGGUCUGAGAGGAUGAUCAGUCACACUGGAACUGAGACACGGUCCAGACUCCUACGGGAGGCAGCAGUGGGGAAUCUUGGGCAAUGGGCGAAAGCCUGAUCCAGCCAUGCCGCGUGUGUGAAGAAGGUCUUCGGAUUGUAAAGCACUUUAAGUUGGGAGGAAGGGCAGUAAGUUAAUACCUUGCUGUUUUGACGUUACCAACAGAAUAAGCACCGGCUAACUACGUG
This 484-nucleotide ribosomal RNA is filed under the name uncultured bacterium. RNAcentral describes it as "partial 16S ribosomal RNA". It matches the Rfam family "Bacterial small subunit ribosomal RNA", at positions 30 to 507 of the family's 1533-position model. The record is from RNAcentral.